Long non-coding RNA from Panthera uncia (snow leopard), 1307 nucleotides. RefSeq lists it as uncharacterized. Lineage: Eukaryota; Metazoa; Chordata; Mammalia; Carnivora; Felidae. The record is from RefSeq and is a predicted model, not a curated record. The transcript has 2 exons.
UUCAUAGUUGUGGUCUAUAUGUGAUGUCACAGAACAGCCAGGCAGAGGAGGGAUGAGAGAGCCCGAGCCUGAGGGAGGGUCUCAGGUACUGAAUUAGGGAACUCACUGUGAGGAAGAAUGUGAAGCUGGAAAAGAAUCACGUCCCCUUCUUUCAGGCAGAUCACUGGGUUUGGAAUAUGGAGAUGAAUGCCAGGGUCCUGAGGGACAGAGUGCUCCAGGCCUGCAGUCCGGUGAUACCUUUGUAGCCAGGGGCUGGAUACAGGAGCAGUUUCAGCACUUCUGGAGCCCUCACCUCCCCAAAGACGGUCUUCCUACAUGGCCUUCUGUGGUCCCUGCCUGACUCUCACCUUUUGAACACCAAGACAGGGCCGAGAAGUUUCUGAGGGGCCAUCCCUUGCUGAAAGAAUGCAGCCAUAGCCUUUACCCCCUUGCACUCGCUCUGGGAAAGCCUGGGCUUGGUAUUCCUCCUCUGCUUACCAAGGAGGAAAGAGUCAAGCAUGUCCACUCUGGAGAUGACAAAGCCAAAGAUGCCACGGGGACCACAUUGGACCAGAUGGACCCUGGCAUUCUCUUGGAAGAACUGGUCUGGGCCCAGAGUGCUUGAUACUUCCUGAGAACAUACAGCACAGCAUUAUAUACCUGGGGAGGGCCAGAGGGGAAGCGAGGUUUGCAGAGAUGGAUGGCCAGAAACCCAGACUGAGCCCUUUGGCACAGCCCCUGGUGAUGCUGAGUUCAGGGAUAUCCACUGUCCACAUCCCUCAGGAUUUGUCUCCUUCCUUACUGAAACUUGCCCAGGGGGAUUCCUAUGCCCAGGGCUCCUCUUUAUCUUCAGCAAACACCCCUGACUCUUGUCCCUGUCCUGGGUCAUCAAUUGCUCCUUUUCUAUUUGCAAAGUCCUACAAACAGAACAACUUCUUCAGAACAAUCAUCUUACUAUCACCCCAAAUCUGCUGUCCAGUGUCACACCAGUGAUCUCCCCACCCUUUCAGUGGCAAGUAGACACAGCCAUCUAGAACCUUCUGGUAGGCCAACAUAAGGGUGAGCAGGACCUGAACUGCAUCUGGGCCCUGGUCUUCUGCCCCUCCCACCCUGAUGAAGCAUCGAGACCCUGAAGAAAGCUUCAGCCAACACCAUUGUAGCCAAGAGAAGGUCCGGCCUGUGGCCAGAGGUCCAGCCUUUGAUAAGAGGCUCAGGCUCAGUUCCAGCAGGGCUCACACCAUUUCUGUGACCACAGUGAGUGGUUUCGUGCCCCUGGGCUUCACUUAACACUCUAUAAAGUCAAGCUGUUGCUUUCUCGGCUCUCUUAA